UAAAAGAGAAAAGUCAAGAACUCUUUUCUCCAACCAGGUAAAUGUCUGACUAUCACAGUAAUAGAAGGAUCCUUGAAGUGUUUUCCUUCACAUGCAUAGAAGGCCCUCAAGUACAAGGCACCAAAGAACCACACCCAAGAAGAUCUAAGGGACAAUCCCAGCAUCCCACGUUCUGAAAAAGGAGUAAAACAGUGACUGGAAAAGGUGUUUGGCUCCAGUGCUUUGCUGCCCAUCCCUCCUACCAGGCCUUUCCCUUGCGGGGCACACUUUAAGUCAGCUCAAACGUGAGAUCGUUGGGGGAAGUGUUAUCACUGGCCCUGGCGGGGAGUUGGAAACUGGACCCUAGAGGGGGAGAAGGCCAAAGAGCCAAAAGCUGCAUCCCCCUGAAGUGCCGCUGUUGUUUCCACGCUGCAGAAGCUCGUUGGCUCAAGCGUCUCCCAACUUCUUGGCAGAAUAGCCCUACCUACAGACCCAGUCCCAAGAGGGCCAUUUUGUAAUUAAAGAGCCUCAUUAAGUGGUGUGACUGAGAAGGCGCAG
RNAcentral lists this long non-coding RNA (537 nucleotides) under Anser brachyrhynchus (Pink-footed goose). RNAcentral describes it as "lncRNA (ENSABRG00000022073.1)". Lineage: Eukaryota; Metazoa; Chordata; Aves; Anseriformes; Anatidae. The record is from RNAcentral.